CCUUUGUACACACCGCCCGUCGCUACUACCGAUUGAAUGGCUUAGUGAGGCCUCCGGAUUGGCUUCGAGGAGCCGGAAACGGCACCUUGUUGCUGAGAAGCUGGUCAAACUUGGUCAUUUAGAGG
This 125-nucleotide ribosomal RNA is filed under the name Hymenochaetales sp. RNAcentral's name for it is "partial small subunit ribosomal RNA". It matches the Rfam family "Eukaryotic small subunit ribosomal RNA", at positions 1657 to 1779 of the family's 1831-position model. Lineage: Eukaryota; Fungi; Basidiomycota; Agaricomycetes; Hymenochaetales. The record is from RNAcentral.